Molecule: ribosomal RNA, 467 nt
Filed under: uncultured bacterium
Lineage: Bacteria
Description: partial 16S ribosomal RNA
Rfam family: Bacterial small subunit ribosomal RNA
Source: RNAcentral
GACGAACGCUGGCGGCGUGCUUAACACAUGCAAGUCGAACGGAAAGGCCUCUUUCGGGGGGUACUCGAGUGGCGAACGGGUGAGUAACACGUGAGUAACCUGCCCUUGACUUUGGGAUAACUUCAGGAAACUGGGGCUAAUACCGGAUAGGAGCUCCUGCUGCAUGGUGGGGGUUGGAAAGUUUCGGCGGUUGGGGAUGGACUCGCGGCUUAUCAGCUUGUUGGUGGGGUAGUGGCUUACCAAGGCUUUGACGGGUAGCCGGCCUGAGAGGGUGACCGGCCACAUUGGGACUGAGAUACGGCCCAGACGCCUAAGGGAGGCAGCAGUGGGGAAUAUUGCACAAUGGGUGGAAGCCUGAUGCAGCAACGCCGUGUGCGGGAUGACGGCCUUCGGGUUGUAAACCGCUUUCGCUCAUGACGAAGCUUUGUGUGACGGUAGUGGGUAAAGAAGCACCGGCUAACUACGUG